This 600-nucleotide ribosomal RNA is filed under the name Paenibacillus lautus. RNAcentral describes it as "bacterial SSU rRNA". It matches the Rfam family "Bacterial small subunit ribosomal RNA", at positions 28 to 607 of the family's 1533-position model. Lineage: Bacteria; Bacillati; Bacillota; Bacilli; Caryophanales; Paenibacillaceae. The record is from RNAcentral.
GGAAUACGCUGGCGGCGUGCCUAAUACAUGCAGUCGAGCGGACCUGAUGGAGUGCUUGCACUCCUGAUGGUUAGCGGCGGACGGGUGAGUAACACGUAGGCAACCUGCCCUCAAGACUGGGAUAACUACCGGAAACGGUAGCUAAUACCGGAUAAUUUAUUUUGCAGCAUUGUGAAAUAAUGAAAGGCGGAGCAAUCUGUCACUUGAGGAUGGGCCUGCGGCGCAUUAGCUAGUUGGUGGGGUAACGGCCCACCAAGGCGACGAUGCGUAGCCGACCUGAGAGGGUGAACGGCCACACUGGGACUGAGACACGGCCCAGACUCCUACGGGAGGCAGCAGUAGGGAAUCUUCCGCAAUGGGCGAAAGCCUGACGGAGCAACGCCGCGUGAGUGAUGAAGGUUUUCGGAUCGUAAAGCUCUGUUGCCAAGGAAGAACGUCUUCUAGAGUAACUGCUAGGAGAGUGACGGUACUUGAGAAGAAAGCCCCGGCUAACUACGUGCCAGCAGCCGCGGUAAUACGUAGGGGGGCAAGCGUUGUCCGGACUUAUUGGGCGUAAAGCGCGCGCAGGCGGUUCUGUAUGUCUGGUGUUUAAACCCGAGG